AUCAUCUGUGGCUUCGGUCCGGAUGUGCCAACAGGUAACACUGUUGGUAAUUCUAUCCAUAACACCUGUGAACUGUUGGAUGCUUGCAUCCACUUUUAUACUAAACAUUAUUGUAACAAAUGUAGUCUUAUUAUAACAUAAUAAAACUUUUAACAACGGAUCUCUUGGCUCUCGCAUCGAUGAAGAACGCAGCGAAAUGCGAUAAGUAAUGUGAAUUGCAGAAUUCAGUGAAUCAUCGAAUCUUUGAACGCACCUUGCGCUCCUUGGUAUUCCGAGGAGCAUGCCUGUUUGAGUGUCAUGAAACUCUCAAACCCAAGUUUUGGAUUUCGAUCCAUGCUUGAGUUUGGAUUUGGAUGUUUGCCGGUGAUAAGCCGACUCAUCUUAAAAGUAUUAGCUAGAUCUGUCUCUAUGACUGGUUUGACUUGGCAUAAUAAGUAUUUUGCUGAGGACAUCUUCGGAUGGCCAGGACCUUGACUAUUGUCUGCUAACUAAACCAUUACUUUAAGUGCAUCUUUGGAUGUUACUCAUUGUAUAACUUUGACAUCUGGCCUCAAAUCAGGUAG
RNAcentral lists this ribosomal RNA (563 nucleotides) under Filobasidium chernovii. RNAcentral's name for it is "eukaryotic LSU rRNA". The stretch from base 145 to 298 matches the Rfam family "5.8S ribosomal RNA". The record is from RNAcentral. Lineage: Eukaryota; Fungi; Basidiomycota; Tremellomycetes; Filobasidiales; Filobasidiaceae.